ACACCUUUAGCCGUGUCAGAC
Molecule: microRNA, 21 nt
Filed under: Caenorhabditis remanei
Lineage: Eukaryota; Metazoa; Nematoda; Chromadorea; Rhabditida; Rhabditidae
Description: crm-miR-66-3p
Gene: crm-miR-66-3p
Source: miRBase by way of RNAcentral